CCGUGUCACCUUAUCGUUACUGACUUUGACGCACUUUAAAUAUAUUAUGCUUUGUGUACUCCAAUCGAAUGCAAACACAGUUUUAUUUUUAUUGAAAAUGUAAGAAAACACUUUCAAAAGUAUUUGAAUGUAAGGCAUCAACAUAACGGAUACUAAAGCAAUAACGGUGAGUAACUGGUGAAAUGAAUUUUCAAUUAUUUAUUCAGUUUUCAUUAAAAGACAGAGUUAUUAUAGACGCUCGCCAUCGACAGGGAAUUCAUCCUCACACGCUUGAACCUAAAUGGUCACGAACAGUGCAGUUUCAGAGGAAUUUUCUCCCACGAAAGCUCAGGCUGUGGAAUGAGCUCCCUGCCGAUGUUUUCCCCUAGAGACUACAGUAUGGGGUUCUUCAAAAAGGAUAUAUUAAGAUUUCUUUAAGGUUGACAACGUGCACGUGACACCCCUUGUGUUGCAGGCGUCCAUAUGCUACAGUGACCGUUUACCAUUAGACGGGCUGUAUGCUUGUUUACCUUUGUGGUAUAAAAAAAAAACAAAAAAGUUAGUCGUAGUGAGUAAAUCUGAAAUCCUAUAAAUAGUAACUAAUUCAGAAAUGGAAGAACUUCCAAACAACAAUAUAAUAAAGAUGAACGAACGACAGUUUUAUACGGGGACCAGAAUCGAGCAGAAGGUGAUAACUUUAAAAACUUGUCUUACCACAAAAAAAAGGUACACUUGCGAUUGACGCGUUCAAUGAAUACAUAUUUAAACGGCUUACUACAAAAGAGUAUUUGAUAUGUGUUUGUCUAAAUAAAGUCAUACAUACA
Long non-coding RNA from Galleria mellonella (greater wax moth), 803 nucleotides. RefSeq lists it as uncharacterized. The record is from RefSeq and is a predicted model, not a curated record. The transcript is spliced from 2 exons. NCBI's taxonomy places the organism in Eukaryota, Metazoa, Arthropoda, Insecta, Lepidoptera, Pyralidae.